CGCGCGAUACAGGGUGACAGCCCCGUACACAAAAAUGCACAUAUUGUGAGCUCGAUGAGUAGGGCGGGACACGUGGUAUCCUGUCUGAAUAUGGGGGGACCAUCCUCCAAGGCUAAAUACUCCUGACUGACCGAUAGUGAACCAGUACCGUGAGGGAAAGGCGAAAAGAACCCCGGCGAGGGGAGUGAAAAAGAACCUGAAACCGUGUACGUACAAGCAGUGGGAGCACGCUUAGGCGUGUGACUGCGUACCUUUUGUAUAAUGGGUCAGCGACUUAUAUUCUGUAGCAAGGUUAACCGAAUAGGGGAGCCGAAGGGAAACCGAGUCUUAACUGGGCGUUAAGUUGCAGGGUAUAGACCCGAAACCCGGUGAUCUAGCCAUGGGCAGGUUGAAGGUUGGGUAACACUAACUGGAGGACCGAACCGACUAAUGUUGAAAAAUUAGCGGAUGACUUGUGGCUGGGGGUGAAAGGCCAAUCAAACCGGGAGAUAGCUGGUUCUCCCCGAAAGCUAUUUAGGUAGCGCCUCGUGAAUUCAUCUCCGGGGGUAGAGCACUGUUUCGGCAAGGGGGUCAUCCCGACUUACCAACCCGAUGCAAACUGCGAAUACCGGAGAAUGUUAUCACGGGAGACACACGGCGGGUGCUAACGUCCGUCGUGAAGAGGGAAACAACCCAGACCGCCAGCUAAGGUCCCAAAGUCAUGGUUAAGUGGGAAACGAUGUGGGAAGGCCCAGACAGCCAGGAUGUUGGCUUAGAAGCAGCCAUCAUUUAAAGAAAGCGUAAUAGCUCACUGGUCGAGUCGGCCUGCGCGGAAGAUGUAACGGGGCUAAACCAUG
This 836-nucleotide ribosomal RNA is filed under the name Escherichia coli. RNAcentral's name for it is "partial 23S ribosomal RNA". It matches the Rfam family "Bacterial large subunit ribosomal RNA", at positions 351 to 1191 of the family's 2925-position model. Lineage: Bacteria; Pseudomonadati; Pseudomonadota; Gammaproteobacteria; Enterobacterales; Enterobacteriaceae. The record is from RNAcentral.